AGCUGCGUUGCCCUGGUAACAACUGUAAACAAAAGGCUGUGGUUAACUGCUCCGCUCCCUGACAGGAUUUUUCAUUCAUUCGUGCCAAUGAAACAGGAGGCCUCGAUUCAUGCAGAAGAUAUGGUACGUAACUGGGAUAUAAAAAUAUAUAUGUAAGAAAACUAUUUAACCUCAUAGACUAACCUUGUAUACGGUACAUUCUAACUGUAAGAAAGACUCUGACAUUGAUGCCUAGUCCCGCCCCCUUCACGUGCAGUUCAGUUAAGUUCUACUUGGAGCAGGGAGCACAUACUCAGCUCUGCUGCUCCAGUUGAGUUAUUACCUCAGGAUGAUUGCAUGUGAGAAGUUUGUGUGCGUGCCUUUCCACCAAGUAAGUGUUGUUGUGUCAGAAUAGUGAGUUAGUAGUUCGUUUCAGAGUGUGUAUGUUGAUGUAGAGUUGAUGUGACAGUAUUGUUAGAUUGGGGUGCUAAUCGCGAUUAGCAUGCUAAGCGGAGAACUAGCAUUGUAGUCAUUUGUAUUGGAAAUGUGCAAGUCAUGCUAAUUGAGCUAUGUUAGAUAUUCGAAGUAAUGAUAAGUAGUGAUGCUAGGAGGAGUAUUAUUUCAGUCAGUGUAUGUUUUGUUAGUUAAUACAGUGUGUUGAUUAGCCUUAUUCUGUGUUUGCAGACCACACACAACUGAGGCUCAUGCCCAUGUAAUUCAUCUGUGAAGUUUAAUAAAGAAACUAAAGGGAGACAACUGCUUCUAACUGCUUCAUGGUGUUCUAACCGACGCCCCCCAUACAACACAACAUCCCAACAAAUCAGAACCAGCGCAAUACAGUCCUUUAGUGAUCCUCACCAACACUAACAAUAUAUUUCUAAAGUUUUGAGUCAUUCCCGUUCAUUUGAAGCGUAAUUUCCCCCUUACUGUGGCUAGUUUGGAUGAGAUGACUUGACCCUAGCUAGCAUAACAUAAAUGGCAGCUAGCUCUACACUAUUUCGGGCAUUCGUUAACAAUCAGUGUUCAGAUAACUAGCGCAAACGUGCCGAGAUAUCUUGUUUAUUAUAAAAAAUAAACGCUUGUGUUGUGCCAUGGCUUAUAUGGUGAUGACGUUUGAGAUUGUAAAUUUACGGGCCACAGAUGUGUCUAUGGUAAGGCCGACCUGACGAGAUAGCUGCCUACUGAGGUUUGAUUGGAUAUGGACAUUGUUUAUUUCAGAAGGAAAAUGUUUGGAGUGGAAUUGUUUGGAAGACAAUCUUGGGACAAUUUUGCUCUUUGGGUCUUUGUGCCAACCAUGCCAGCUAUCGUAGGGUGCUCUGGGAACUUCUUAGAUCUGUUUACUGUAUGUACACUUACUGAAAUAAGCAUUUUGUUUACAUAAAAUCCCUUGUCAUUUCACCACUAGGUUUGAAACCCAGACAGCACGAAGCAUCUUGCCGACGUCAAAAUCAGAUCAACAGACAGGGACAUCAGCCUUCUCUUGGGAAUAGGCCAGAUAUGCCAUAACAAGAAAUGGUGUUUUGCCCCUGCGGUUGUGAAGAGGAUGCUGUGGAGGUGGCAGCAUGAACGUGUCACACAGACAUUGGCUAAACUACUCGGCUUCUACACUUGCCCUCAGAGUUCACAUAUGGUGAAGUGCACAGGUGUCCAGUCAGGUUCAGACUGAUGCUGGUAACAAGAGGAAAACAUGCUAAUUGAUGACCUUUCCAGCAUGUCCAACUCAUCAGCAUCAGGGGAGGAGAGUCGGUGAAGGUGGUGCACCAUCCAGGACCAGUCAUGGGCCACCAACACCUCUGCAAAAUCUGCACUUCUUGUGAACCCUCUAGAAGACACUACAACCACAAAACUGCUAAUAAACCAUCACAUACUACAUCA
Molecule: long non-coding RNA, 1854 nt
Organism: Engraulis encrasicolus (European anchovy)
Lineage: Eukaryota; Metazoa; Chordata; Actinopteri; Clupeiformes; Engraulidae
Exons: 4
Source: RefSeq, a predicted model, not a curated record